GUCUGCAUUUCGUAUGCAUAUUCACCAGGCAUGUCAAACAAAAAAAACUCUUUCUCAAAAAUUACCAAAUCUAUUUGUGUAAUAAGAAAUUACCAAACACUCAACAAAAUCCAAAAUAAUACAUUCCAUUGUCUCCUCUCUUUCUCGCUUCACAUUCACUGAGCUAUGGCAUGUUGAUGUUGAGAUUUAGCUAAUCCUUCUCUAAUCCCAUUUGGUGUUAAUGUUGAGAUUUAGCUUUUGGUUUCAGUGAUUCUUUCAUUUUGUUAUUGUCUGUGGGUUUUGUUGUUUGAUCUGGUGGACUUAUUCUUACUUUAUUUGAAAAAAUCAAUUAGUUGGGCUUAUAGUGAUAAUAUCAGUUAUGUGGGUUUCGUCACAGGAAAGGGGGACUUUAAUCUUGUAGUUUCUAAAUUCAAUUUGAAGAUGAAUUCUACACUUCGACAGCUCUUGUGUGGUGAUAAUCUUAUGGUUUGGCGAGAUUCAAGGGUUUAUGGUUGGAGAUGGUGGACAAUGAGGGAUCAAAGGAAAGGAAGGUGACGGAUCAAGGAAAAUGAAGGUGACGACUAUGUUUAGUGUCUAGCAUAAGAAGAUGGGUGGAAUGGCAAGGGGGUUUUUUUUUUUAUUCAAUGGAUAUUUUAUACAACCAGAUACUUCAUAGGAACAAAGCUAGCUAACAAUGUCAGCCCGAGUAUAUAUAUAUAUAUAUAUAUAUAUUUAUGGCAGAUUUUAUAGCCAGUGCUCCUUACAGGGUGACAACAUUCCAUGAGAUAUGUUAGAAUAGUGCUUGCAUUUCUCUUGCUCUUCUCUCUAAAUGAACUCCUUGACGUGUUGAUGCUGGGAAGGAAAACGACUGGCAGUACGUGAUCCAGUUCCAUUCAAGGCUUGAAGCUUUCCUAUUCAUACAAUAUGCUUCUGCGAUCCCUUUGUAGCCAUCUCCACUGUGGAAAUAUCACCAUCUUUAUAUCUAUACCAUUUGGCACACAAAAGAAAAUAGCCGAAGUUAAGGAUCCCCAGACCAACGAUCACGUAAUAGAAGCAAUCCAGUUUCCCUUUGUUAAGAUCAUCGUCCAACCAGUCUCCAGAUUUACUCCCUGAAGUAAUGCGGUGGACUAUAGUAACUAGGAAACCACUUAGAUAAUUAGAGAUAGCAGCACCUGCGAAAAAGGAUGACCCAGCGAUACUCCUCAUAUUUUCUGGGAAUUGCUUGUAGUAGAACUCGAUCUGUGCAAUAUAAUUGAAACCCUCUGAAAGUCCAGAGAGUGAAAGUUGUGGUAUCAGCCACAUGGCAGACAAUGAUGAUAUAGCGCCUCCUUUACUUGUAAUGCCUAUGGUUGGCCUUGUUAAAGCAAUGUGCCUUCUCUUUUCUUCCACCAACCCAGAAACGAUCGUACAAAGCAUUGCUAGAACCAUUCCAAUUCCCAUUCUUUGAAGCAAUGUUAGUCCACCUUCUUUGCCAGUAAGCCUUUGAAGAAACGGAACAAUGAUUCGGUCAUAGAGGGGAAUCCAGAUGGUGAGGGUUAUCAUUGUAAAGAUUACGUACGUUGCGGCAGGCACCUCAAAACUGGUGCCCAGACGUCUAUCCAUCUGAAGGGCUUGGAAAACUGCAUAAGUCUGUUGCUGGAUCAAGGGAAUAUGAUAAAGUAUGGAUGUUGACCAUAUGGGAAUUAUCCUCAGCAAACACUUCACUUCCUCGACUUGCUGGAUGCUACAAAGUUUCGAUGGGUUAGUAGCUGAACCAUCCAAAUUAAUUUGAUCUCCAUCUGUAAUGAUCGCAGCUUUGUCAAGAAACCUGCAGUGGUCGUGAUAAUUGAGUAUUAAAAGUCAAAAUGAAAAAUAAAAAUUACCUCUGAUUCUGUAAUUGGCAAUCAAAUAAUUAAUGUAUGCUGCCGAUUCUUCACACACGAAAGUACUCCACUGACGAUGCUGUUGUAUAAAAUGAUUCAUGCUUAAAUAUUGUUGUCCAGAAAUUAAUCCUUCUCACCUAAAUUGUUCCGUGCGAGGAAGCUUAGAGUUGAUAGAUUUGGCCGGAAUGUAGCUGAAAAGAGAGACAGUUGAGUUUUCAGGAAGCUUCAGGCCUCGUUUCUUCGUAGCAGCAACAAUUACAUGCACCACACUACUUAUGGGGCUGCCUUCAGGUUUCACUAUAACAUAAAUUCUUGUUCCCACAAAGAACAUUACACAAGAAAGGAACAUUAGGAAUGCCGGAAUUCCGAAACCAAUGGGCCAGCUAAUGUUUGAUUGCACAUAGACAAUGCCAGUCACCGAUAUCAUCACGGCGAACGUGAAGGUAAAGUAGUACCAAUUGAAGAAACUGUUGAUACCCCUCUUGCCAGAUUCAGUAUUGGGAUUGAAUUGAUCUGCUCCAAAGGCUAGGUUGCAGGGCCGUAUGCCACCAGCUCCGAUUAUCAAAAAGGCAAACGCACUCAGCAGGAAGGCUAAUUGCCAAGUUGGUGGCCCAGCGCACGCACCUCCUGGCGCACACUCUGGAGGGUGCAGAGUGGAGAUUGCUGCUGUUAGCAUUAACGCCACCAUUCCCUAAAUAGAAACAGAUGAAAAAAAAAUUAAUAUGGGAAUUCAUACUAGAUAUAUAGUACAUGAUACAAAAAGCAUAGUAUAAGAAAAGAGCAACCGUAAUAAUUAUAUACUUGACGUCGUUGGGAAAUAAAAGAAAUUUUCUUCACUGGAUUUACUGCCAAGAACUCCGCGCAGACAGGAAUACUAAAAAAAUUGUAUAUAUAAAUUAUCGACAAAUCAACUCGUGGUGUCUGAAUAAAAAAUUGUGAUGUUAAAUGAAACACUGAACAUGACAUAAGUAAUCAAGUGCAAGUUAGCCUGUUUGGAAAUAAUAUGAUUGGGACUGUUUUUUAAAAUAAUUUUUAUAGAAUGUAUUAAAAUAAUAUUUAUUUUAUAUUUUAAAUUUUUUUUUAAAUAUUAGCAAUCAAAAUGAUAUGAAAAUAUUUAAAAAAUAUUAAUUUAAAAUAAAUAAGAAAAUUUUAAAUACAUUUUUGAAAUGAAAAAAGAAUCAGGGCUAAUAAUUUUAUUUUAUAAAAUAUAAUUAACAAAUAUAAAAAUCAUUGUCCCAUGUGCUCUCUGACCUGCUGCACUGUGACUCACACAACCACAGAUCGAAAGAGUUUUCUUUUCUAUUCCCUUUUUUUUUUUUUUUUUGUAACACAAGACUGUAAUUCAAAGAGAAAAUAUAUAACUACGACAAGUUUUUCCCUCUUUCUUCAGAGAUGACACCUACCAAUAUAACCUAAAGCAGCACGAAACUGUCAAUAAGUGAAGCAUGCAUUUUUUUUAAUUCCAUAUUCAAAACAUAUGUCAAUGAAUUGCAUGUGAAGACAAGAUCUGCGCUGUAAGUCUCAUCAACUUGAGACCAAGAACGUAAAAGAAAAGUUUAGACUCUAAAUUUGUUUAAAUCCUUGAAAGUUGAAAGUGCUUAGGUGGUAGCAUCGUGCUACAGCUAUCCCUGUGCUUUUGCAGGGUCAACACUGGCCUCAACUCCCUUCACUUGCUUCAUUGCUGAACAACAUCUUUUCCCUUUCUUUUUUUUCCAGAAUAAUUCAAGAGGCGAGUUAUAAAAAAGCAAGGAAUUACCACGAAAGAAGAGAUCGAAGCAAAACCCAAAGUUUUGUAGCGUCCGAAGUAAGUGUCAGUGAGGUAAGCUCCAAGAAGAGGUGCCAAGUUGGUGGUUCCACUGAAGACAUUAAGGAAUGUGGUGGCAGUGACACCCUUCAUGUUGAAAACUGUUGUCAGAUACACAACAAGAUUUGUCAAGGAGCCAACUGUGCCGAGCUUCUCAAAGGUCUCGUUUCCUGCACAUAUACAUACACAUAUAAAUGUCAUAUCGAUCAUGAAGAGAUCACGUACGGACAUGAACAGAUUUUAACAUCCAAAAAAGCCAACUUUUUCUGCCUACGGAAAGAGAAAUCAGACAAAAAUAAGCUGUGUGAGCUUACCAAUGACAAAGGGCAUGGCUUUAAUUCCUCCGUAUUUAACCACUGGCUCGUCAUUUGAGGUGGUUUUCUCCUCCCUUCCAUUCUCCAUGGAGGUCUCGAGGGACGUGGGAGUCUUUUUCUCUUCAUCCCCCAUCUUACAAGAAUGAUAUUUGUGACACUCUCUUCUAUGAAGAUAGAAUUAGAGAUGAGAGCUUAUUAUUGUAUGUAACUUCUAUAGUCGACGUUGCUGCCUUUAAAUAGAAGUGUUGGUACGUCAGCCAAAGAAAAAUGCUCCAAUCUCUUUAAUAAUAUAUAUAUAUAUAUAUAUAUAUAUAUAUAUAUAUAUUAUAAACACGUAAUUAGAUAAAAUAAAUUCGGCCAUUACUUUUUUUAUGCGAUAUUAAGAGAUAUUUUUGCAUAUUAACCGAGAUUAAAUAUCCUUCUCGACUAAUUUUAAAAAUACAACUUUUACAUUAGUUUUUUAUGUUUAGAAAACUACUCGACUCCAAACAUUUGAGAGACAAGGUGCUAAUGUUUUAUAUGGUAUUGUGCACGGAACACAACUUUUCAUCAUCGUAGGUCCAUUUAAUUGAAUAAAAUACAAAAAAUAUCUAGUUUACUCUUUAUACAUACUCUUGUGUAUUCUACGCUUAGGAUAAAGGUUGGGGGAUUUUUUAUUUUUACUUAUCCUUUUUUUUUUUAUCGAAUUCAAUUAUGAGAAGCUACACCAUAAAUUUAUACUUAAUUUUUUAAGGGUAUGUUUGUUUUUGUAUUUCAAAAAUAUUUUUAAAAAAUAUUAAUAUUUUUUAUUUUUUCUUUGUUUUAAUUUUUUUUGUGUUUUCUUAUUAUUUAAAUUUUAAAAAAUAAAAAAAUACUAUUUUAAUAUAUUUUUAAAUAAAAAUAAUUUAAAUAAUAACCAAUAUCACAAUACCAACAUCACGUGUUUUUUUUAAUGAGUAUAUACAUAUAGAAUAGUGAUACAGUGUCGUGAACCGUGUGGAUAUUAGAAAGCACCGUGUGUACGCAUGGUAAGGUAUUAGUGCUUGAUGGUGACCGGCGACAGGGGCUGACAUGUACUGUAGAAAGCCAUAUGAUCGUUCGUUCAUACCGAAGAACAGCCAUAUAUCUUCGAAAGUGCCUGCCUACCGCAUUGCCUUUCUAUCUUUCAUUCUUUUCCCUACUCGAUCAUGUGAUUAAGAAAUGCCAAGAAGCUUUGGUUUUGAGCAGCUGGAAUUGACAAGUACAGAAAAUGCAUGGCAGAUCCAUAGGAUCCUUCAUACCUAAGAAGAACAGUCGUCUACAAAUUCAUUUCGAGGCUCUCCUCGAAGAUGAGAAUCCACGGCACCCAACUACCAUUCUAGGGUUCAUGUCGAUAUCCUCAUUUUCUCUCUUUCUUUCGCAACUAACUUUCAAAGAUUCAUCUCUUCUUAUCUCUAUAUGAGACUGCUUGCUUAAUAUUUUAUUUGUUAUCCGUCAACAAAGAAAAAAUAUAGUUGAGAUUUUAAUCGCCAACAAAGCCCUUCCGAGUAGAAUAAAGUGUGAAAUUCUCAGCUUCGUUAAGAAAACUAUUAUAAAGUAAGUGUAAACAAAAGAAUUAAAACAAUCAACAUAAAAAGCUAUAAUGGAAAAAUUCUCAAAUUGUUUUUAAAAUAUCAACCAUAAAACAAUAAACAUAAAAAUAUACAAUUAAUAAAUCAACUAUCGAUGACAUAGCUAAUCAAGCACUAUUUUUUAAAAAAAAAUAUCAAUCGUGUUUUGCUUCCUUCCUAACGUGUCAACCAACUAAAUUAUUUCAAAACAAAGUGUUAUUUAGUUUUCGCAUGAUACUUAGGGUUAUAAAAACUACUAUAUUGAAUCUAUAUCUAUUUAUUAACAUUCAACUUUUCAUCUUCUUUUAAAAUUCUCUAAUUUCUUUUUACAAAAAUUAAAUAUCCCAAAAGACCCUAAGAGUAUGUUUAGUAACAUAAACUAUUUUUCUUUUUAAUCUCUAUUUUUAUUUUUCUUUUCAAGUUUCUCUUUUCUAAUAGAAAAUUUGAAAACGUGUUCAUUUGUUGGAAACUAAGAUGAUUUUCUUCAUAAAAGAAAAGGAAAUAAAUCAAGAUUAUAAUUGUAUUUCAUGAAAAAUUAAAACCAUAAUUUAAAAUAAUCAUCUUAUUUUUUGUAUUUGUGAUAAUUUAAUUGUAGAAUAUUAAGUUUAUUUCAUUAAAUUAAAAAUUAUCAUGAAAAAUUUAUAUUAUUAUCUCAAAAAAUUCUUCAUAAAAUAAUUAUGAUAAAAAGUAAAUUUAUCACGCUAACUAAAUACGAAAAUAUAUAAAAAAAUAAUUUUAAUAUUUUACAUUGCUAAAAAUUGCUCGUAUAUAAAAGAAAUUUUUUUUAUUGUUCAUGUUUUUUCUUUAAUUGAAAAACUAAAGAGAAUCUCUAAAAAUAUAUUUUCCAAACUCAAUACAAAUUUGAAAAACUAAAAAAUUAGUUUUUCAACUUUUUUGAUGGAGAAAUAUUGCAUUUGAUAAAGAAGUUCUAGUUUUCCUUUUUUAACUUUAGUUUUUCAUAAAAUUGAAGUAUUACUUUAUUUCUAGAUUUUGUUCUUCAAAAAAAGACAUUUUCCAACCGCUCUCAAAGAAAACAUUCUCCAAUCACAUGUUUUUAAAACCUUACUUACUACAUGUCUAAUGUUAACUAGGUAAUUAUAAGUAAUGUCGUAUAAGGUAUGGUUGGGGAAUGUCUAGGGCCUUACCAAAAAGAAAUUAUUUUUGAAAGGGAUCAUCUCUUCCCUUUGAACAUUAAAAGAGAAAUACUUCAAUUUUAAAAUGACCAUGUUAUCCUCAAUAUUUGGAAGAAAUCAAUUGCAAAAUGGCCUAGUGUUGCCUCUUUUGAUUACAUCAACUAGCUCAACCGAAUGAAGCAAAACUUUGGUAUUGGGUAGAAAUGCCAAAGGAUUUUCAACACCAUUUAAGUGUUUAAAAUUACCAUAAAGAUAAAUAAAGAGAUGUUGGCCACGUUUUCUUUUCUGGUUAAAUUAUAAAGUCUUUACCUCUAGGUGUAAUAUGUAAAUUAUAACUCAUCUUGAGUUGGAUACGAUAAAAGAUCUUUUUAGAACUGAAGAAUUAUGUGCUUCUUUAUAAGUUCUUAUUGGUCAAUUUAAAGACCUAUUAAAAGGCACUCCUAUGUAUAAUUCUCUUCUCAAAUGAGAAAAGAAGAAAAAAACUUUGCAAACUAGUAUGAGCACAUAGCUUUCUUUUUUAUACUAGUUAUACAGAUACCUAAUCUUUUUUAAGUCCAAGAAACCUAAUAAGGCCUACUUGAAAAUAGUUAGGGUCUUAGUAGAAGGUCAAAUUAUAGCUUUAGAACUAUUUGUGAUUAGCUAUAUUAAUAAUGCCUUAAAGGAAUGCUAGGUUAGGAGCGAAUAUCAUCUUAUUGUGGUGAAAGGAAACAUCUAUGGUGCUUUUUAGUGGGUGCCAUUAUAGGCUAUAGUAUACUUUCAUGAGUUUAGUGAUGUGUAGUCAACCUUAGACCUUCAUCUGACUUAUAUUGGAGAGAGGUUGAUGAAGACCUCAUUCUAUAGCUUCUUUUAAAAUGCUAUGUGGAAUCUUUCCUGGCUAUAAUAAGUAUAAUUGAUCGAUCCAUAACAUUCUUUGUUCUAAUAAGGAUCAAUCUAAGUUGGUUGUCUCCUCUGUUAAAUUCCUAAUAACAAAGAACAUAAGUUGUAAUGGAAGAAUAUAUUUUAACAUGAAGAAGCAUACUAACUUAUUAAGAUAUUUCACUUUGGCUUAGUGAUUUACUUUGUUUAAAAAAAUAAUUUUUUCUUGUAUGAGCUUUAUACCCUUCAAUAUGUGACAAAGUAGUCAGGAUUCAUACAAUGCAUCAUGUUUUUAAUGAUCUAGUGCCAUAAAUUGAAUAGGCCUAUAUAGGAUAAUGUUUUAGAAUAUGGAGCAAAUGGUGGAUGUAACUUUGGAACCUAAACACUACCUGAGUUGCUAUAGGAUGAGAGACUUCACAUUGAUAAUUGAUCAUCAAUCAUGCAUUUUUUCUCUAUAUUAUAAGUUUAUUGAUGUCAUAUGUAACAUUUCAUUUAAAAAGAUAACUAAGUUCUUUUUUGGACUAGGAACUUUAUGUUCAAAGCAACAAGAUCAUUGAGUGAAAUUUGCUUGUAGUAGAACUCGAUCUGUGAAAUAUAAUUGAAACCCUCUGAAAAUCCAGAGAGAGAAAGUUGUGGUAUCAGCCACAUGGCAGACAUUGAUGAUAUAACGCCUCCUUUACUUGUAAUGCCUAAGGUUGGCCUUGUUAAAGCAAUAUGCCUUCUGUUUCCUUCUACCAACCCAGAAACAAUCGUACAAAGAAUUGCUAGAACCAUUCCAAUU
Molecule: long non-coding RNA, 8296 nt
Filed under: Populus trichocarpa (black cottonwood)
Lineage: Eukaryota; Viridiplantae; Streptophyta; Magnoliopsida; Malpighiales; Salicaceae
Description: long non-coding RNA (PTRI_LNC003825)
Source: RNAcentral